Molecule: ribosomal RNA, 115 nt
Filed under: Camelus bactrianus (Bactrian camel)
Lineage: Eukaryota; Metazoa; Chordata; Mammalia; Artiodactyla; Camelidae
Also listed under: 2 other names
Source: RNAcentral
GUUUACGGUCAUAAUACCCUGAACGUGCCCAAUCUGGUCUGAUCUCGGAAGCUAAGCAGGGUCAGACCUGGUUAGUACUUGGAUGGGAAAUAUUUAAAGCAUGCUACAAUAUUUA